RNAcentral lists this non-coding RNA (206 nucleotides) under Desulfosporosinus sp. RNAcentral's name for it is "T-box sequence". It matches the Rfam family "T-box leader". From Rfam's summary of the family: Uncharged tRNA acts as the effector for transcription antitermination of genes in the T-box leader family. T-boxes are found upstream of many aminoacyl-tRNA synthetase genes and some amino acid biosynthetic genes usually in Gram-positive bacteria. Lineage: Bacteria; Bacillati; Bacillota; Clostridia; Eubacteriales; Desulfitobacteriaceae. The record is from RNAcentral.
UAGAACACGUUGAUAAGGACAGUCUCUGUCAGGUAACCCCAACAGCGAGCGGGAACGGUGUGAGCCCGUGAGGCGAGACGGAGAAAAUCCCCUUGGAGUGAAGAGCUGAAGUCUGAGUAAGUUCUUUCGGUUUGUCUCCGUUAACAGGCUUCCGAGUGGCUUUAUUGGGCGACAAGGGUGGUACCGCGGGUGAUCUCGUCCCUUUU